This is a non-coding RNA of Podarcis muralis (Common wall lizard), 1954 nucleotides long. The record is from RefSeq and is a predicted model, not a curated record. NCBI's taxonomy places the organism in Eukaryota, Metazoa, Chordata, Lepidosauria, Squamata, Lacertidae.
AUUUUGUGGUUUUUGUAUUGUAAUUUUAUCUUGUGAACUGCCCUGAGAUCUACAGAUGAAGGGUGAUAUACAAAUUUAUUUAUUUAUUUAAUAGAUUGCAUUUCACCUUGAUAAAGGGUUGUAGGCAUGAUGUCUGUGUUGUUAGAUGAGGCUAGGGGUUUGUGCAGCAUUCAAGCACAUACCAGGCUCUCACUUGGAUGCAUUCUAAGUGAAACAGUGCUGAAAAUAACAAUACGUACACAUCAUAUGUUGAUGUGCAGUGUAUAUUUUAUAUACUGUUAUAGACCAAGUUCAGGGAACCUGUGUUUACUGGGCUCCAUCAGCCUCAGCCAACGUGCCCAGUGGUCAGAGAUGAUCCUGUUAUAGCUGUGUCUAGUAGAACUUCAGAAUCAUUUGAACUUGUCUGAUCUUUCACUGCUUGGUCCAAAUGGUGGAGGGAACACCAGUGGACUCCAGAAAUGCACAACUUUAAAUGAGGUGGAGCACCUAGAAACAAGGAAGCCAGUGCUAAUAGAUAUCUCCAUAUCGCCCCUAAGACAGAUAGCUUCAGACUCCACAUAGAUCAGCUGCCUUAUCUCAGUUAAAACAAUAUACAGCCAGUUACAUACUUACACUGAGAGGCUGAGUUCUCCUUUGCUAAAAUGAUAUCAAAGCCCCCUUGCACUUUGUGGCCACCUGAAGCUGGUGAAGAUCCUACUGGCUUCCUCAAGACAUAUAGUUCCCAAGUGAAUCAGCCUGCAAGAUCCACUGCUGGGCAGUAUUUAAGUCUUUUAAAUUAAGAAGAGUGGCAGAUGAAACUGAUGUACUAUGCCGAGGUGGCAAAAUUAACUGGGAAAAUUCGGAACCAGCAAGACCAGACUUUCCUGAAAGAGUGGAAGAAAUUUCUGAUAUAUUUGAAAGACAAUUGUAAUCAGUUGACAUCACAUGUACGGUUGCAAGAAGUUUUGUAAGGAGAACCAUAUGAAUUAUUGUGAAAGAGGACUAAGAAGGAGUUUAUUUAGGAUAUGGAUUUUAUAGCAAUAACUAUUAAAAUAAAAUGCAAAAUCAGAAAGAAAGUUAGAAAACCAUUAGUCGAGGUUGACAGAAAUCUCUGGCUGUGAUAGCCGAAGGUUUGUUAUGUUGUAUAGGAUGGGAUGUUAUGUUUGGAAAAAAUGUGCAAAAACCAAUAAAAAUAUAUUUUUUUAAAAAAUCUUUUAAAUUAACAAAAUAAGAUACUUUUACAUCCUUCUGUUUUCAGUGGAAGAGAAGCUGAAUGUAUGAGCAUUUCUUUAACUAAAGUCUUGCAGAAUAGAUGUCUAUAUGGUUUUGCCUUCAAUCUCUUCUUUGAAAUGUGAAUUCCUGUUUCAGAAAGCCUGUAGCUUUUCAGUAUAUCAUUGGGGACAAGAGUUCAGCAUUCUUUUUAAAGAGUUUAGUUUCUACAACUGUUCAUGACCGGAUAUCCUACAGCUAUAAAUAUUUAGUUGUGGAAAGUAGGCUUCCCAUUUUGGUAUUGUGUAUUUGAUGCACAGCUGAGAGGUACUGGAACGGCAUAGGAAUAAUUAAAUGUUAGAGUUUUAGUUAAUGCACUCAAGCCAAUAUAUCCUGAAGGACAAAAGGCUGGAAUAACAUUUCCCUGUAGCAGUAAAUGUUGAAAGGUGCAUACAUUCCUAUCAUUAUGGUGGUGAUUAGAGCUGCAUUGUACAAAAUGUUUCAAAAGGCAAUUUUUAUCACAUCAUUAUUAAUAUAUAGAUCUGAAGGUGAGGGCUGUUUGCAAAGAAGAACUCUUUGGGAUUUCAGCAGACCUGAAAUUUAGCCGCAAUUAGUGGGAGUCAGGUAUACACCUUAAUGAAAAAUGUAUAACUAGAUAUUUACAAGUGCAGAACACAGAAACAUAGAAUCAUAGAACUGGAGAGUUGGAGGUAACGCUGAGGCUCAUCUAGUCUGACCCUCUGCAAUGCAGGAAUCUUAACUAAAG